UUUUUUUUUUUUUCCUUUUUUGUUAUUGUUCACUUUAAACUCAUACCAAAAAUUAAAAGAAUAUUUAAUUUUUUAACUUAUUGUUAUUAUUAUUAUCAUUAUUUUGCAUUCAAAGCUAGUGAUUAUUACAUUUUUGACAUUUUGGUUCUGGUUGACUCAAAGUCAAACCAACCAUUAUUAAAUUUUAACUAAUUAAAAAAAAAAAAAACGUUUUACAGGUCACAAAAAGAGUGGAUACAGCUGCAAGCCAAUGGCACGGAUGGAACUGGAGAUCAGAAGGCGAUUUGCUCCUUAACGGCGCUUAUUUCACUCCAUCCGGCGCCGGCGCCUCCGGGAGUUACGCUAGGGCUUCAAGUUUAGGUGCCAAGUCUUCUUCCAUGGUCGCCACCAUCACCUCCGGCGCCGGCGUCUUAAACUGCCGUAGAGGCCGCCAGUGCUAACCGCCGUUACCCUUCCGUCAAUUCUCAUUUUCUUUUUUUUCUUUUUUUCUUUUACAGCUUCCACUAUCAUCACCUUAUAUACACUACUUUUUUAUUUUUCUUUUUCAUUCUUCAUUUUCGAAGUUCAACCAACUGCCAAAGAGCAGAUCCGUAGCGUUGUUUAUGAUUAUAUUUCCUUCUUCAUUCUACCAAAACCCAUUAUCCAUUUAUCCCCUUCUACCUACCCGACCGACCCGACCCGGGUUUAUUGGAUUACAGGAUCCGAAUGUUUUAAUUUUAUUUAUUUUGGUAAUGGUAGUUUUUCUCAUAUGUGAAUGUCAAAAAC
Molecule: long non-coding RNA, 765 nt
Filed under: Lactuca sativa (garden lettuce)
Lineage: Eukaryota; Viridiplantae; Streptophyta; Magnoliopsida; Asterales; Asteraceae
Description: long non-coding RNA (LSAT_LNC001487)
Source: RNAcentral